This 898-nucleotide ribosomal RNA is filed under the name Sporothrix schenckii. RNAcentral's name for it is "LSU rRNA". It matches the Rfam family "Eukaryotic large subunit ribosomal RNA", at positions 38 to 967 of the family's 3401-position model. Lineage: Eukaryota; Fungi; Ascomycota; Sordariomycetes; Ophiostomatales; Ophiostomataceae. The record is from RNAcentral.
GCAUAUCAAUAAGCGGAGGAAAAGAAACCAACAGGGAUUGCCCCAGUAACGGCGAGUGAAGCGGCAACAGCUCAAAUUUGAAAUCUGGCCCCCCGGCCCGAGUUGUAAUUUGGAGAGGAUGCUUCUGGCGCGGCGCCGUCCGAGUUCCUUGGAACAGGACGCCACAGAGGGUGAGAGCCCCGUACGGACGGACGCCUAGCCUCUACGAAGCUCCUUCGACGAGUCGAGUAGUUUGGGAAUGCUGCUCAAAAUGGGAGGUAAAUUUCUUCUAAAGCUAAAUACCGGCCAGAGACCGAUAGCGCACAAGUAGAGUGAUCGAAAGAUGAAAAGCACUUUGAAAAGAGGGUUAAAAAGUACGUGAAAUUGUUGAAAGGGAAGCGCCUGUGACCAGACUUGCGCCCCGCGGACCACCCGGCGUUCUCGCCGGUGCACUCUGCGGUGCGCAGGCCAGCAUCGGUUCUCCCAGGGGGACAAAGGCCGCGGGAACGUAGCUCCUUCGGGAGUGUUAUAGCCCGCGGCGGCAUGCCCCUGGGGGGACCGAGGACCGCGCUUCGGCAAGGAUGCUGGCGUAAUGGUCACCAGCGACCCGUCUUGAAACACGGACCAAGGAGUCAAGCAUUGGGGCGAGUGUAUGGGUGCCAAACCCGCACGCGAAAUGAAAGUAAACGCAGGUGAGAGCUUCGGCGCAUCAUCGACCGAUCCUGAUGUCUUCGGAUGGAUUUGAGUAAGAGCCUUACCGCUUGGACCCGAAAGAUGGUGAACUAUGCCUGAAUAGGGUGAAGCCAGAGGAAACUCUGGUGGAGGCUCGCAGCGGUUCUGACGUGCAAAUCGAUCGUCAAAUUUGGGCAUGGGGGCGAAAGACUAAUCGAACCAUCUAGUAGCUGGUUACCGCCGAAGU